CGCACCUAACCUGCUGAUUCUCUGAACACAGGUGUGUCCUGGCUCAAAUACGGCAGACGACCCUGUACCAGCACUGCACUAACAAAGUGGAAAACUGACUGGUCCCUACUGUUAGCACUUUUCUACCAAAGCUGACUUGUAUAUUUUCUUUUUAUUUACAGUUAUAGAUGACUCCUGUCAGUAAGAAUACUUACUCCCGCUGUUAUGCUGCUCCUCACACACACACGCACGCACGCAUGCACGCACACAAACACACACACACACACACACACACACACACACACACACACACACACACACAGCCUGUUAUAGUACACACACACACACACACAGAGCCUGUUAUAGUACACACACCCACACCCACACACAGAGCCUGUUAUAGUACACACACACAAACACACACACACACAGAGCCUGUUAUAGUACACACACACACACACACACACAGAGCCUGUUAUAGUACUGCUACACGCACACACACACACACACACACACACACACAGCCUGUUAUAGUACACACACACACACACAGAGCCUGUUAUAGUACACACACACACACCCACACACACAAACACACACACACACACACAGAGCCUGUUAUAGUACACACACACACACACACACACACACACACACACAGCCUGUUAUAGUACACACACACACACACAGAGCCUGUUAUAGUACACACACACACACCCACACACACAGCCUGUUAUAGUACACACACACAAACACACACACACACACACAGAGCCUGUUAUAGUACACACACACACACACACACACACACACACACACACACACACGAUCAGCAUCCCUAGACCCCAAAACCAACCGUCGCGCACACCCCAAACGUGUGAUCACGUUUAGAGUGUAAAUGAAUUUAGAUGAUAUUUACCUUGGUGCCCCUGCGCAUCAGCCCAGUUCAACCCGUGCGGUUUCUCGUAGCACUUGGCGCCCGGAUUCCUCAAACAUUACAACGUUCCUCAACUGUCAGCUAUCCUGAAACCUUUGAAGUUUGUAGAGCUCUGAAAGAGUACAUUUUAAGUGGAACAUUUACUCCACCAUGCAACAAAAAAAUGCGCAAGGAAAUGCGGCGUGUGUCUGAAAACUUCAUAGCAAAAGACAACCGAUUGUUUUACACUGGACCAAAUAAAACGUAUAUGAGACUAGUUGUUUGUACUGAGGAGGAAAAAAGGUCUGUUUUGAUGGAGUGCCAUAACUCCGGCACCAGCAACCACAACGGUGUACGAGGCACGAGAGACAGGGUGAUUGCUGGAUACUUCUGGCCUACCCUAAUGAAAGAUGUAACUGAGUGGGUGAAGUGUUGUCGCCGCUGCCAACUAAAUGACCCCAUGAAGACGGGGACACCAGUGUUACAUUCUAUUAAGGUGAAGGCUGCAUGGGAGGUGAUUGGCCUGGAUUUAAUUGGCCCACUGCGAGAAACUGGUCAAAAAAACAAGUAUGUGUUGACCAUGACUGAUUUAUAUACAAAGUGGGUUGUUGCUGAGCCACUGCAAAAUAAGACUGCAACUGAAGUGUCAGCAGCCAUCAUAAAGACACUCUACUUGUUCGGCAUGGUCAAGAAAAUUAUUACUGACCAAGGGAGAGAGUUCGUUAAUGAGCUGAAUGAAAACAUCUUUGCAACUCUGAAAAUCAAACAUGCUGUCUCAAGUGCCUACCACCCUCAGACAAAUGGGCAGGAUGAGCGAACAAAUCAAAAUGUCAAACGUGUAUUGCGGAAGUAUGUAAAUGAAAGCCAUAAUGAUUGGGACAUCCAUUUACCUGCAGUUGUGUAUGGUAUUAACACUGCUAAGCAAUCUUCAACCAGGCACACCCCGUAUUUCUUAUUCUUCCAUCGGCACCCUCAUUUGCCAGAGGUUAUGAACGCCUGUCCCAUGGGAGAAGACUUUAAAAUUGCUGACCCAGAAGAUGAUCUUGACACCCGAGUAAAUGAAAUGAAAAUUUUAAAUGAGAAGGUGCUUAGCAACAUUGAAAAUGCGCAGAAAAGACAACAAAAGUCUUACAGGAACCGUAAGAGAAAGCUAAUGAGCACAAUCAGUCCUGGCGAUGAGGUCUUGAUUUCUCAAGAUUUCAAUAUAAAACAGAGAAAAGACACCCUUGCUGACCGCCACAAAGGUCCUUUCACUGUGGAUAGUAUCUCUAAAAAGGGUGUGGCAGAUGGUGAAAGAUAAUGGGACUCGAUGUUGCAUCAAUGUCUCACGGCUAAGGCCUUUCUACAGGUUGGAAAGUAAGAGCUAAGUAGUGUUUUUUUUGUAAUGGUUGACAUGUAAGGUGUAUAUUGUAAAGUUUAUUUUAUUAAUAUUAGACUUAAUUUUUUUUAUUGUCUCUUCAGAUCAUGGAGCAGUUCCAUGUGUGUCACUUCAGGACCAUGAGUAUGGUACACCUGAUGAAGCAACAGACCAUCCUUAUGCUUUUUCUGGAGAGAAAUGGGAAAAAGACUUGGGUCCUCUCCAGGAAAAACUGUUGAAAUAUGUCCUGGACAAAAGCCUUCCAGCAGCAGAAUUGAUUGUUAAAGAUGACAAUAUCUGUCUUACACGUGAGGACUUGUGGAGUCUUGGGUUAAAUCAGUGCAUGGAGUCUACUAUUGGGAAUGCAUGUUUUAAGAUCAUCAGAGAAGCUGCUCAAAAACAUGGGAAAGAUGUUUACAUUGCUGACAUGUAUGUGGUUCCCACAUGGAAAACGAUGAAUGUGGACCCACUCUCAAGUUUACCGAACAAUCUGUGUUCCAAGGAUGCGAUUUUGUUCCCUGCAUGGAGUAUGCAACAGAAUCAACUGGAUCACUAUUUGCUAUGUGUUGAGUUACAGUUUCAAAAAAUAGAUAUUCAGAUUUUUAGAAUGAAGUUUGUUGAUUAGCUUAUCAUUUUGAAAUAUGUCCAUUGCAGGUUUUACUGGUUGUGGAGAGAGAGAUCAUUUUUCUAGAUUCUGUACUCCCUGGUGGUUUUGGAGAUGACUCAUACAAAACGAUAUUUAGGUUAAGAGAGAGGAAAAAGUUGCCCUUGUUCAGUGGCUUUUACCAAUAAUAUUUUACGCAAGAGCCAUGUUCUGUGGCUGCUGAUUUACACAAAAGCCUUGUUCUAUGGCUGAUGAUUUACAAAAAGCCUUGUUCUAUGGCUGAUGAUUUACAAAAAGCCUUGUUCUAUGGCUGAUGAUUUACAAAAAGCCUUGUUCUAUGGCUGAUGAUUUACAAAAAGCCUUGUUCUAUGGCUGAUGAUUUACAAAAAGCCUUGUUCUAUGGCUGAUGAUUUACAAAAAGCCUUGUUCUAUGGCUGAAAAUUAACAAAAAGCCUUGUUCUAUGGCUAAUGAUUUACAAAAAGCCUUGUUCUAUGGCUCAUGAUUUACAAAAAGCCUUGUUCUAUGGCUGAAAAUUAACAAAAAGCCUUGUUCUAUGGCUAAUGAUUUACAAAAAGCCUUGUUCUAUGGCUGAUGAUUUACAAAAAGCCUUGUUCUAUGGCUGCUUAUUUAUAGCUUUGUUCUUUUGUUUUAUGUUUACGCAGAAGCCUUGUUCGAUGGCUGUAGGAUUAGGUCUCAUUUUAUGAAACUAGACCAUGGAGAACAAUUGUAUGACUAUAGGUUUCAGUAAGUGUGUGUCCAUAAUUAUUUUUUUUUCCAUUUUAUGUGCAGACAUAUUGCAGGCCAGAUUGACCCAAGACCCUGGACAGAGAAGACCGGCAGAAGUUUUGAUCACUUCCCUCAACAAACUUCUGGGAACUACUGUGGCAUCCUUAUACUCAUUGUAAGCAUCCUUUUAAGUUGUGAUAAGCAGCAUUUUGAGUUAUUGGGUAUAAUAGAGAGAUUUAUUUUUUUUACAGUAUGCCCUCUGUAUCUGCACCAAUACCCCAUUUAUCUUCACAGAGGUCAGUUGCAUCUAUUAAUAUAGAAAAAAAUAUUUCAAACCCCACCCCAAUUGUCUGAUCAUUGUUAUAUAUGUUUUAGAAUGAUGUGCCAUUAAUCCGCCAGUGGUGGUGCAUCCUACUGAUGGAAAGAUUUCAGAUUGAAGGACAUGGCCAGAGGUUUGCUUUCUGGACUGACAAGGCUAGCAGGCUAUUGCAAGGGACCCUUCAGCCACUUUUUAGGGUAUCUAGGUCAAUCACUUCAGACAUUCCACCUCAUGUGCAAACCAUGGUCAACCGCACAGCCCAAGAAAAGAAGCUGGUAGACUUUGCUGUACAAGACCAUGGAGUCCGGCAACAUUUGUUGGGUGUACUCUGUGGAAAAGAGCCUUCGAAGUGGCUCAGCAGAAUCCAGAAGGGAUCAUCUCUACGGGUGCCAGUGUACCUGGACUCGGAGGAAGAACAGGACUCCCUAUUUUUCUAUCUUCAGGAUGUCCUGAAAUCUGCACCAGUAGAAUUCCACAUUGAGGAUCAAGUGCAGUUCAUUUUGGAUGUUUUGUUCCCAGAGUGCAUCACCCAAGCCAUGUCUACACUACAGGGAAUAACUAUACAAGAGGCUGAAGAGUUGUUUCUUUCUGGUCCUAACUACAGCAGAAGGUAAAAACAGUUACCUGUGUUUGAAAUAUCUGUAUGAAUGUUUAUUUAUUGUGACUACCAUUUUAAUUGGGUGGGUGGUUGCGUGUUUGUGUCGGGGUACUUUGAGUUGGGGAGGGUGGGUUUUUGUGUU
Astyanax mexicanus (Mexican tetra) is the source of this 4642-nucleotide RNA transcript. It is a transcript of the gene named gypsy retrotransposon integrase-like protein 1, with no coding region annotated. Lineage: Eukaryota; Metazoa; Chordata; Actinopteri; Characiformes; Acestrorhamphidae. The record is from RefSeq and is a predicted model, not a curated record. The transcript has 17 exons.